AGAUGCUUGUUAGUAAGUGUUACAGGUCUUCUUUACCACCGAGGAAAGACAGAAUGCUACUAGAGUCCAGAAAGAAUGUUCCAGACAUGGAUGAAUGACCCUUACUCCUGAUUGUUGACUUCAAUACUCCUGAAUGUAAGGAGUGCUCCAGGUCUACCGCCAGGCUCCAAAGGUGAGUCUCCAAAGGGCUAGAAAAUGCCCCACCAAUCUGACUAAGAUAAAGAAAAGAUAUAAAGAGAAAGUUACAGAAACUUGAGGGGUUAAGAUAAGUUGCUGAGAGAGUUAGUGUAAGUUUCAGAGAAAGUAAGGUUGAAGAAGAGAAAGAAGAAAGAAGGCAAAAAGUGCAGGAAGCUGGGGAAGAAAAGAGACAAAAAGAAGAGGAAGCUAGAGAGCUAAAGAGAGAUAAAAGGCAAGAGAGGAAGAUAUACUGACCACAGUAGUUAGGGAACCUAGGAAGACAGUACCUGGCAACAGAAGAGAAUUCCUGGCUAAAGAUCAGUGUGCCUAAUGCAAA
Long non-coding RNA from Rattus rattus (black rat), 514 nucleotides. RefSeq lists it as uncharacterized. The transcript is spliced from 2 exons. The record is from RefSeq and is a predicted model, not a curated record. NCBI's taxonomy places the organism in Eukaryota, Metazoa, Chordata, Mammalia, Rodentia, Muridae.